UACGAAGGGGGCUAGCGUUGCUCGGAAUCACUGGGCGUAAAGCGCACGUAGGCGGAUUGUUAAGUCAGGGGUGAAAUCCUGGAGCUCAACUCCAGAACUGCCUUUGAUGCUGGCGAUCUUGAGUCCGGGAGAGGUGAGUGGAACUGCGAGUGUAGAGGUGAAAUUCGUAGAUAUUCGCAAGAACACCAGUGGCGAAGGCGGCUCACUGGCCCGGUACUGACGCUGAGGUGCGAAAGCGUGGGGAGCAAACAGG
This 253-nucleotide ribosomal RNA is filed under the name uncultured bacterium. RNAcentral's name for it is "partial 16S ribosomal RNA". It matches the Rfam family "Bacterial small subunit ribosomal RNA", at positions 524 to 776 of the family's 1533-position model. The record is from RNAcentral.